This 372-nucleotide ribosomal RNA is filed under the name uncultured organism. Its description in RNAcentral is "bacterial SSU rRNA". It matches the Rfam family "Bacterial small subunit ribosomal RNA", at positions 527 to 896 of the family's 1533-position model. The record is from RNAcentral.
CAGAGUGGCAAGCGUUGUUCGGAAUUACUGGGCGUAAAGGGCGCGUAGGCGGCCAUCUAAGUCAGACGUUGAAAUCCCCCGGCUUAACCUGGGGACUGCGUCUGAUACUGGAGGGCUCGAGUUUGGGAGAGGGAUGUGGAAUUCCAGGUGUAGCGGUGAAAUGCGUAGAUAUCUGGAGGAACACCGGUGGCGAAGGCGGCAUCCUGGACCAACACUGACGCUGAGGCGCGAAAGCUAGGGGAGCAAACGGGAUUAGAUACCCCGGUAGUCCUAGCCCUAAACGAUGAAUGCUUGGUGUGGCGGGUAUCGAUCCCUGCCGUGCCGAAGCUAACGCAUUAAGCAUUCCGCCUGGGGAGUACGGUCGCAAGGCUG